Long non-coding RNA from Sapajus apella (tufted capuchin), 3062 nucleotides. RefSeq lists it as uncharacterized. NCBI's taxonomy places the organism in Eukaryota, Metazoa, Chordata, Mammalia, Primates, Cebidae. The record is from RefSeq and is a predicted model, not a curated record. The transcript is spliced from 3 exons.
CCGUUGCAAGCACCAAUCUACUUUCUGUCUCUAUGAAUUUGGCUUCUCUAGGUACCUCAUACAAGUUGAAUCACAUAGUAUUUGUCCUUUUGUGACUGGCUUAUUUCCCUUAGCAUAAUGUCCUCAAGGUUUAUCCAUGUUGUCACCUGUGUCCGAAUUUCCUUUCUUUUUAAGGCUGAAUAAUUUUCCUCUGUAUGUAUACAUCAUAUUUUGUUUAUAGCCAUUCAUCCAUUGGUAGGCUCUUGGGUUGUUGGCUAUUAUGAAUAAUUCUGCUGUGAGACGGGUAUACAAAUAUCUAUUUGAAUCCUUGUUUUAAAUUCUUUUGGUCAUAUACCCAGAAGCGGAAUUGCUGAACCAUACGAUAACACUAUUUUAAUUUUUUUGAGGACCUUCCAUACUGUUUUCCACAUUGGUUAUACCAUUUUACAUUCCCACCAGCAAUGCACAAGAGUUCCAAUUUUCCCACGUUCUAACACUUAUUUCCUGUUUUGUUUUGUUUAUAGUAACCAUCCUAAUAUGUAAAGUGGUAUCUCAUUGUGGUUUUGAUUUGAAUUUCCCUAACGAUCACUGAUGUUGAGUAUCUUUUUAUAUGCUUACUGGCCACCUGUAUAUAUUCUUUAGAGAAAUGAGUAAUUUUCUUUAAUGGAAAAGUCCUUUGCCCAUUUUUAAAUUGGGCUGUGUUUCUUUCGUUGUUGUUGUGUAGUUGUAGGAGUUCCAUAUAUAUUCUGAAUAUUAAUCCUUAUCAGCUAUACGGCAUGCAAAUAUUUUCUCUCAUUCCAGGGGUUGCCUUUUCAUUCUGUUGAUAAUGUCCUUUGAUGCACAAAGGUUUUUCAUAACCCCUGUAUGUUAUAGAUGUGCACGCCCAUUCCCCCAGGGUGGGCUUCCCUGAAGACUGGUGUACAGUAGUCCCUCUUUAUUGGUACUUUUAUUUUCUGCAGUUUUAGUUAUCUAUGGUAAACUGUAGUCCAAAAAUAUGAAAUAGAAAAGUCCAGAAAAAAAAUCAUAAGUUUUAAAGUGUGUGAUGUUCUGAGUACACUGUACACUCUCAAGCUGUCCUGCUCUGUCCCACCCAGGAUGUGAAUCAUCCCUUUGUCCCAUGUACCCACACUGUACACGUUCCCCAUCUGUUAGUCACUUUGUAGCCAUCUUGACUAUCAGAUCGUCACAGUAUCAUAGUGCUUGUGUUUGAGUAAUCCUUAUUUUACUUAAUAAUGGUCCCAAUGUGCAAGAGUAAUGAUGCUGGCAAUUCCGAUAUGCCAAAGAGAAGCUACAGAGGGCUUCACUUAAAAGGUGAAAGUUCUUGACUUAACAAGGAAAGAACAAAAAUUGUAUGCUGAAACUAACAAAAUUUAUAAGAACAAAUCUUUUACCCAUGAAAUUGUAAAGAAAGAAAAAUACAUUUGUGCUGGUUUUGCUAUUGCACCUCAAACUAUAAACGUCAUGGUUACAGAGUGUGAUAAGUGCUUAGUUAAGAUGAAAAAGGCAUUCAGUUUGUGGGCAGGAGACAUUAACAGAAAUGUGUUUAGUAUUGGCAACGUGUUGCACCAGAAAGCAUUGAGCCUAUAUGAAGACAAGCAUUGAUCCCUCCAGCAACGGAUCCCCUGAAAUCAGUGACACUAAGCCAUUUAUUGCAAGUACGGGAUACUUACACAGAUUCAGGAAUAGGUUUGGACCGAAAAAUAUAUAAAUUACUAGAGAGGCUGUGUCUGCUAAUGAACAGAAAUAUAGAACAAUGGGCUAUUUUGAAAGAGAGAGCGAGAGAGACCACAUGCAUAUGAUUUUACUGUAUUAUGUUAUUAUACUUGUUCUAUUUUAUUAUUAGUUAUUAUUGUUAAUCCGUUAACUGCACCUCAUCUAUUUGUAAAAAAUUUAUCAGAGGUAUGUAUGUAAAGAAAGAAGCAGCAUAUAUAUAGGGUCUGGUACUAUCUGCAGCUUCGGGCAUCCACUGAGAGUCUUGGAAUGUAUUCCACGCAGAUAAGGGGGACUGCUGUAUAGAGGGGAGUUGGGUGUGCUCUUGGUAUUGUUCCCAGACCAAACUGAGGGUCGGGCUGCUAUUUCUCGUGGACCAAUAAUGAGAUGCAGAUGAACUGGGGAGGAAGAGAGUUUUUAUUUCUGUAACCGGUUACAGGGAGAAGCCCUGGAAAUUAUCGCCAGACCAACUCAAAAUUACAAAGUUUUCCAGAGCUUAUACACCUUCUAAGCUAUAUGUCUAUGUGUAACUGAAUGCAUUCAUCUAAAGAUAUAAGUGAUUAACUUCUUUUAUAUAACUAAGGUCUGAGUCCUGAAGGAGAAAGUGUACUCAAUCUAAAUGGGUCUAAGUACUGGGGUGACUACCCUUAUCUUGUCUCCUGCUAAAUUAUGGAGGUUUGGAGAGUUCCUUUAGACCCCAAUAAACAUGUUUGUGGAGGCCCGGGUAGUUUCUUCAGACCCCCAAUAAAACUUGUUUAAUCCUAAAAGGGUCCUGAUAAGAAUUCCUUCGUUAUCUUGUCAUGCUUUGAGGCCCAGGAAAAGCCUAGGCAAAACUCUUGGUGGGCUCUUUGUUACAUUUCAGCCUUUGUAUAAGGGCACUGGCUCAAUCAGCUUUUAAUGUUUAACCUAGCUACUCAGCCAGUGCUGGGACAGAUGUAACAAAGGCCUGCAUUUGCUAGACCUAGCCUGCCACAAUCCCCACUGUCAAUUUGUGCAUGAUCUCUAUCAUGCUUGUAUAUUUAUUUAUCACAAGAAUCAUAGGGAUAUGGGGCAUCAUAAUCUUUCUGGCUACUUGCUGCUGAGAGAGGGUCGUCAUUAUGGGGCACUGAAUCAGCAUUGGAGUGGAAGAGGUCAAUUUGUUCCCAGUUGCCCUCUCCAUUUCGGUUGCUUAGAAUAGUAUGCAACAUUUUUCCUCUAUUCUGAUAUCGCGAUCUCCAAAGUUAUCAGAAAUCUGCAUUAAAAAGCACCUGUUAGAGCUUUAUGGCUGAUUAUAAAACCACCUUCUAAAGAGGACCUAAACAAGACAACAGUUGUUUAUGGAUGACAAAAAGUUUUAGGACAGGCCGGGUGUGGUGGCACACACCUGUAGUCCC